GGGGCCAAUUAUGAAAUAGGAUCAAAAUCACACCUUGAAGCAUAAAACCACAUGCCUAUAGCAAAUUGACUUUCUUUUAUUGAUCAAAGUAUAUAUAUAAAAAACCAAUUCUAUAGAGUUUUUACAAAAACUAAUAUUGAAGAAUUUAAGUGCGUAUUAAGUUAAGAUUGUUUUGGAUGGCUCUAUUUUGUAUUGAAUAAAAAAGAGAUUUCUUUCUAGUAAAUUGUAUAAGUUUUAUAGGAGAUCUAUAUGUAAACUUUGGUGGAUUUGUAAACAUAUUUGUAUUAAAUAUUUGUUGUGAAUUUG
This 306-nucleotide long non-coding RNA is filed under the name Physcomitrium patens. Its description in RNAcentral is "long non-coding RNA (PPAT_LNC006231)". The record is from RNAcentral. Lineage: Eukaryota; Viridiplantae; Streptophyta; Bryopsida; Funariales; Funariaceae.